AACGAACGCUGGCGGCAUGCCUAACACAUGCAAGUCGAACGAGAUCUUCGGAUCUAGUGGCGCACGGGUGCGUAACGCGUGGGAAUCUGCCCUUCCGUUGGGAAUAACUGAGAUAAAUUUGAGCGAAUACCUUAUAAUGUCUUCGGACCAAAGAUUUAUCGCCGAGGGAUGAGCCCGCGUCGGAUUAGCUAGUUGGUGGGGUAAUGGCCUACCAAGGCGACGAUCCUUAGCUGGUCUGAGAGGAUGAUCAGCCACACUGGGACUGAGACACGGCCCAGACUCCUACGGGAGGCAGCAGUGGGGAAUAUUGGACAAUGGGCGAAAGCCUGAUCCAGCAAUGCCGCGUGAGUGAUGAAGGCCUUAGGGUUGUAAAGCUCUUUUACCAGGGAUGAUAAUGACAGUACCUGGAGAAUAAGCUCCGGCUAACUCCGUGCCAGCAGCCGCCGUAA
This 449-nucleotide ribosomal RNA is filed under the name uncultured bacterium. Its description in RNAcentral is "partial 16S ribosomal RNA". It matches the Rfam family "Bacterial small subunit ribosomal RNA", at positions 29 to 523 of the family's 1533-position model. The record is from RNAcentral.